UUAUUAUUACAUCACUAAUCAUUGAAGAAAAAAAUCACAAAGUUAACUAACCCCCAACUAAUUCGUUAGAGACUUAGUUCUUCCUUCAAAGUAGAACAAACAGAACCAUAUUCAACUAAUUCUUCCCAAAAAAUAAAAAACCCCAACUAAUUUUUCCCUCAAAAUCGAACAAACAAAACCAAAUUGCCCCUAUGUUAUUCCAACUCUCAUAAUUUCGCUCACCUAUUCCUAAUAGAUUAACCCCUAAAUAGCAUCAAAUUUGAUUUUGAUUUCGAUUAAAUUAAUACUCCGUAUCAACUUUUAAUUUGUUGGUGUAGAUUGAAGAGAGUAAAGAAUCAAAUAUAGAUAGUUUGUUGCCAUCUUCUAAUAAUAUCUUGGUGCAACCUGAAAAUAGCAGCGGGUAGAUCGAGGAAGAAACAAAGACAAUUCUAAGGCAGUCUGAUGCUGUAGGAAAUAUUGCUUGAGUAACUACCUUGAACCUGUCUACCCCCGAGCUGCAAUGUGCUUGAUGAUACACGCUAUAAAGAAGCUCCACAAGGCACUUUUUGAAGGUCUAGCAACAUUUUUCAAACCUUAUGGUCUGAAAUUGAUCUUGCUUUCCUAUCCUCACAAUGCUGACCAGACGAUUGAGUAGCUUGAAUUACUAGACCGCUUGAAAGUUUUAUGGCGGGUUCUCUGCGAUCUCAUUGUAUUCAUAAUGACUUGUAUCAUCUAAACUUAUGCUUAGGAGGAUUCUCAAGAAACUCAUGAGUAGCUGAAGGUCUCAACUAAAGACACCGAUAUGGCAAUCAUGCUAUUGAACUGUGUGCCCGUCUAUGCAAUGAUACCGCAAUUCAGUAAGCCUGCAUUAAACAACAAUUCAGUAAGCCUGCAUUAAUCAGCAUUCAGCACAAGCAUUUCCUUAAUUAAGUCACAUAAAAAAUUAUUGCAUAUGAGAAAUUUGAAGUUUAGGAAAUACGGCUCCUUAAUCAAGGCCAUUUACAGAUUCACUACGGCCAAAAUUAUGGUACAUAGCAUAUAAUGAUAUACACCAGAAGUGCUUAAGUCAGAUAAAAGGCGAAGCAUUUCAAACAUGCCAGAACACUAUAUGGAUGUAUGAGUAGGCUUAACACUAUACCACAACAUUCUUAUGGGGAGGGAGAACCUUAAAUACAUGAAUUGUUAUCUCCUCCCACAACCCCCAAAAUAAGAAAGUCGGUUCCCGUUUGUAGGGAGGCGAUCAUUUUGUACUUCUUAAAGUUCUUGUUAGUUUGGCACAAGGUUGUAAAUUGAUUGAAAUUGAUUUGUUUAUGAACGUGGACGUCCAUGAGAAGGCUCAUCUUGAACUAUAAUUUAUGAACAUAGACUUGUUAUUGCAA
Long non-coding RNA from Chenopodium quinoa (quinoa), 1358 nucleotides. RefSeq lists it as uncharacterized. NCBI's taxonomy places the organism in Eukaryota, Viridiplantae, Streptophyta, Magnoliopsida, Caryophyllales, Amaranthaceae. The transcript has 6 exons. The record is from RefSeq and is a predicted model, not a curated record.